This 357-nucleotide ribosomal RNA is filed under the name uncultured bacterium. RNAcentral's name for it is "bacterial SSU rRNA". It matches the Rfam family "Bacterial small subunit ribosomal RNA", at positions 153 to 507 of the family's 1533-position model. The record is from RNAcentral.
GAAAGGAAGAUUAAUACAGAUUGGCAUCAUGAGUUCCGCAUGUUCACAUGAUUAAAGGUAUUCCGGUAGACGAUGGGGAUGCGUUCCAUUAGAUAGUAGGCGGGGUAACGGCCCACCUAGUCUUCGAUGGAUAGGGGUUCUGAGAGGAAGGUCCCCCACAUUGGAACUGAGACACGGUCCAAACUCCUACGGGAGGCAGCAGUGAGGAAUAUUGGUCAAUGGGCGAGAGCCUGAACCAGCCAAGUAGCGUGAAGGAUGACUGCCCUAUGGGUUGUAAACUUCUUUUAUAAAGGAAUAAAGUCGGGUAUGGAUACCCGUUUGCAUGUACUUUAUGAAUAAGGAUCGGCUAACUCCGUG